GGAAUAUCCUGGAUAAGUACUUAAUUACUAUUUUUAUUGAGUUUUUAGCCACUUAGCUCCAUUCACCCCCAUUCAUUUUGGACUCGCUCGCGGGCUCCCCCUAGCGGUGGGCGGUAUUUUCUGGUAUAACGGAGAGCUGGGGAGUGGGCAGUCUCUCCAUAAACUGCCUGUAUAACCGCUCUACAUAACUCAGAGGAUUCAUAUAUAUCAUAUUACACCGUAUUAAACAUUUUUAAUAGGUUUCUCAGGUAAAACCAAGCCCCAUAGUUAUUGAGCCAUGUGCAGGUAGCCGAGCUGCAGUGCUGACUGUCCUGGUCAACUUACCACAAGCAGUUUCUGGAGUGCCUCCAACCGGCAGGUCUGGUAAAACCAAGCCCCAUAGUUAUUGAGCUGUGUGCAGGUAGCCGACCUGCAGGGCUGACUGUCCUGGUCAUCUUACCACAAGCAGUUUCUGGAGUGCCUCCAACCGGCCAUUCUGGCAUCGCCGUGGCCAGCGCCCUUAUUGAUACCUCACAGCUGAAGCCGGGCCACUUCAAAGAUAAGAGUCUCAGACAGCCCCUAGUACAGAACCGCAGCUCUCCUGUUUGAACCGCCCGACUGACCUGGACGCACCGCACCGACCUCGGAUCCUGCCCUGUUUGUUUACCCUGCUCCUCCACCUGCCUCUCAAUUUCCUCCUUCUUCACCACUUUAAGGAAGACCUUGAAGUGUAAAUGACGGGGGGCAGUCUGUCAUUAGUAGUCUGUGUUGUACUUCUUUUAAAUCCCGAGCUCCACAGUGCAUCACAUGCACGCCCUCCUCAAAGCCUCUACAGACCAUAGCUGUGCUUCUCUUUCUUCCUUUCUUUCUUUCCUUAUACUCUUAACUACUCUUAACAAAAGUUAUUGAACACUUGUUGAUUGGGCAUCUGAUUAUUGUGUUAUUAUUAUAAAAAAGUUUUGUUUAGAAACUUUAAAGUUUAUUAAACUUCAGUUUUGCCUCUUGUAAUUCUUUUUUUUUUACAGAGCUUGAUAACAUUAAUUUACAGUCCCCUCCAAAAGUAUUGGAACAGUGAGGCCAAACCCUUUUUAUUUAUGCUGUAGACUAAACACAUUUCAGCUUUUAUUUCCUGAAAUUUACAUCUGAACCCACAAACUUUUCUUGUGAGCAAAAUAUUAGAACAUGUGACCUUCAGGUGUGUGUGUUUUUUUUUGUUACAGUCCAGGUGUCUCCUGUUACAUGAAUUAUUCAAGCAACAAAAAGCACUGAUUGUCUACUCUCAGUUUCAGAUUUGUGUUUUACCUGUGCAGAUUGUGCAUUAACUGUAUGGUUAAAGGAGUAAACAACAUGAAAACCAGAGAGCUCUGGGAGUCUAUGAAUGAAAAACAAGCAACUGUGAAGCUGAAAGUAGAUGGAAAAUCAAUCGACUGACAAAGAGCCAUUGCACAAAUAUUGGCCAUAGCCAGAACAAGCUGUGGAAUGAGCUGAAGAAGAAAGUCGUCACUGGUGUACUAAGUAAUAGAUGUCGAACAGGUAGACCAAGGAAAACAGCAGUGGAAUAAGAAUGAAGGUAAGGCUGGAAUUUACGAAAAUGUACAAAUUUUGUGCUAAUUAGUUCAAUUGUUCAGUUGUUUUUUUAUAAAUAAACAGCCUUAGUUUUUAUAUUGUACGUUCGGU
RNAcentral lists this long non-coding RNA (1656 nucleotides) under Astyanax mexicanus (Mexican tetra). RNAcentral's name for it is "lncRNA (ENSAMXG00005024623.1)". Lineage: Eukaryota; Metazoa; Chordata; Actinopteri; Characiformes; Acestrorhamphidae. The record is from RNAcentral.